GCUACCGACCUCUCGCUUUUACAAAGUAUUUUUCAUGGGGUUUUUUUUGGCUCUUUAACCCAAUAGGAAAGCUGUAUAUGACCUUUUCAUUUUGGACUGUUAACAUUCAAAUUAUGAUGGACUUGUUUCCUUGUUUAUGUGAAUUACAACAUCAUUAGCUGCAACAUCUGCCUGUUCUGUAAAACUGGUAGCUCAACGACAGCAUCCUGAGGGCAAUUAAGUGACAAAUAUUGUGCAAGACCAGCACUAUUACAACCCUGUCAAUUUCCACUUCUUAAAAUGUUUACUGCCAAUUAUCACACAUAAAGCAAGAAAUAAUAUUCUGUACUAAUACUUCUGUACUACCCAAUACACAGUGAAUAAAUAUUAUCUGAAAGUCGGGUUAUUGUUGUUUAUCAGCACAAUACAAAAAGAUUCAUGUUAGACAUAUCCCAGUUAAGACUAGAAUAUCAUGAUUUAUGUAAAUUUACCUCAAUAAUAUGAAUGUUGAGGUUAAGAUUGUACAGUGAUAUUUAUUAUGUAAGUUUAACUGAUUAAAGUUUAUGACUGCACUGCAAUAUUAUUUAUUAUUUAGAUUUACAUAAUUAUAAUAUUUAGGGUCAGACUCUACAGUAUUAAGAUUAAGAAAUCAAAUAUUCUAUGAAAUGUAAAUACACUGAACUCAUUUGGAUAUAGUUAAGUGAGACUCUACAAUAUUCUUUGACACAAAUCUAUCUAAAUCAAAAUUUUAAUCAUUUUUACUCCAAACAUUUACUGGACUGAUUUAAACAUUAAAAUCACUCCUUUCUAAUCCUCUGCUGUACGUUCAAACCUGAGGCCUUAAAUAGAAACACACAAGUAUCUGAUUGAAGGAAAUUCUGCAGAGUCCUGGUUCCAGAACAUGAUGAUAGAAUUAUAGACAAAGUUUAACAAAAGCUGCCUGAGAGUUUACAGGUUUUUAUGUUGGAUUUCUUCAGUAGUUUAAUGAGCGUUAUCAGCAAUAAUCAAGUGUUCAUUUGAUGAACUUGAUUUCCUAAAACAUACAGAAUUGGAGCUCAUAUCUUUGGCAGCUGUAAAGUUUCUGCUCCUUCAAAGUUCACAACACAAUGAAUGAAUUCCUAAAACACUCUCAAUGCUGGAGAGCGUUUGUGAUGCUGAAGCAGUGACCAGUUUUUCUGUUUCUUCUCUGGAGAUGCACAAUGAGGGACGUCUGCAGCGACUGAGAAAGAGUCUCACCACAUCCUGACAUGAGGAAAAAGACUUUAUUGAAGACUACAAUGAGAAAAACUAUCAGACAGCAGACGGCAUGCAUUCAAGUCUGUAGCUGCUGAAUUCAUGGAUGAAUCAUCUGGCACUAGAGAGGAAGACCAUCAAACGUCCACGUCAGCUGAUGGAGGUCCAAGAGUCUCACCAAAGAAACAACCUACAGAGUGAAGACCUCGAAUCUUGAUUGGACGGCCUCCUAUUCAGCCACGUGUGUGAACAAAUGCCUCUAAGCUGAUUUGUUUUCUAAAAUAAAUCUAGUUUGUGUCCUAA
This is a long non-coding RNA of Amphiprion ocellaris (clown anemonefish), 1515 nucleotides long. RefSeq lists it as uncharacterized. Lineage: Eukaryota; Metazoa; Chordata; Actinopteri; Pomacentridae. The transcript has 2 exons. The record is from RefSeq and is a predicted model, not a curated record.